GUCAGCAUGGCGUUAGUGGUUUGAGUGGUAGACUAUGACUCUGGAGACUUGGGUUCAAUUCCCAGCUUGACC
Phrynosoma platyrhinos (Desert horned lizard) is the source of this 72-nucleotide non-coding RNA. The record is from the annotation of a GenBank genome assembly. Lineage: Eukaryota; Metazoa; Chordata; Lepidosauria; Squamata; Phrynosomatidae.